UACGAAGGGGGCUAGAGUUGCUCGGAAUUACUGGGCGUAAAGGGCGCGUAGGUGGCUUCGUCAGUCGGACGUGAAAUUCCUGGGCUCAACCUGGGGACUGCGUUCGAUACGGCGUAGCUAGAGGAUGGAAGAGGCUCGUUGAAUUCCCAGUGUAGAGGUGAAAUUCGUAGAUAUUGGGAAGAACAACGGUGGCGAAGGCGGCGAGCUGGUCCAUUACUGACACUGAGGCGCGACAGCGUGGGGAGCAAACAGG
Molecule: ribosomal RNA, 253 nt
Filed under: uncultured bacterium
Lineage: Bacteria
Description: partial 16S ribosomal RNA
Rfam family: Bacterial small subunit ribosomal RNA
Source: RNAcentral